UCUGGGACAAGCCCUGGAAACGGGGUCUAAUACCGGAUAACACUCUGUCCCUCAUGGGGCGGGGUUAAAAGCUCCGGCGGUGAAGGAUGAGCCCGCGGCCUAUCAGCUUGUUGGUGGGGUAAUGGCCUACCAAGGCGACGACGGGUAGCCGGCCUGAGAGGGCGACCGGCCACACUGGGACUGAGACACGGCCCAGACUCCUACGGGAGGCAGCAGUGGGGAAUAUUGCACAAUGGGCGAAAGCCUGAUGCAGCGACGCCGCGUGAGGGAUGACGGCCUUCGGGUUGUAAACCUCUUUCAGCAGGGAAGAAGCGCAAGUGACGGUACCUGCAGAAGAAGCACCGGCUAACUACGUGCCAGCAGCCGCGGUAAUACGUAGGGUGCGAGCGUUGUCCGGAAUUAUUGGGCGUAAAGAGCUCGUAGGCGGCUUGUCACGUCGGAUGUGAAAGCUCGGGGCUUAACCCCGAGUCUGCAUUCGAUACGGGCUAGCUAGAGUGUGGUAGGGGAGAUCGGAAUUCCUGGUGUAGCGGUGAAAUGCGCAGAUAUCAGGAGGAACACCGGUGGCGAAGGCGGAUCUCUGGGCCAUUACUGACGCUGAGGAGCGAAAGCGUGGGGAGCGAACAGGAUUAGAUACCCUGGUAGUCCACGCCGUAAACGUUGGGAACUAGGUGUUGGCGACAUUCCACGUCGUCGGUGCCGCAGCUAACGCAUUAAGUUCCCCGCCUGG
Molecule: ribosomal RNA, 727 nt
Filed under: Streptomyces sp.
Lineage: Bacteria; Bacillati; Actinomycetota; Actinomycetes; Kitasatosporales; Streptomycetaceae
Description: bacterial SSU rRNA
Rfam family: Bacterial small subunit ribosomal RNA
Source: RNAcentral